Molecule: long non-coding RNA, 576 nt
Filed under: Durio zibethinus
Lineage: Eukaryota; Viridiplantae; Streptophyta; Magnoliopsida; Malvales; Malvaceae
Description: long non-coding RNA (DZIB_LNC001226)
Source: RNAcentral
UUUCUUUUCUCUCUUGUUUUAUCUCAUCCUAACAGCUACUUCUUUCUUUUUUAGAACUUUUUUUUUCACGCCUCAUUUCAAUAUAGCUAUCUAAAAAAUUGGACAGAUUAUAUCCACAUGUGUGCCCCUACCUUCAAUCAAUAUUAGCUUACAUAGAAAAAUCAAAGGUAUCAUCUCCAAAUAUGAACUGCUACUACACAUUUGAAGGUUGAGUGAAUAAUUUUGCUAAACCUUUAGCUACGACUUUGGCUAAAAGCUUGCUACAGAAUGUUAUUUAUUUCUACUUUAACUACUUAAAAAAAAUGUAUUUGAAUAAUAUAUGCCGGUAAUAAUGCUUAUUUUAGUGUUUCCUUUUUUAUUUACAAUAUUAGUAAUACUUUAAUGAAAGCUAUUGUUGUCUUAAUUAAUUAGAUUGAAACUUUCAAUUUUUUAUGUUUAGAAAUUUUUGAAUUUGGUCGUUUGGAGUUAAUUGGAUAAAUAUUACGAGAUUUUUAAUUUUUUUAUGUUUAGAAAUUUUUUUAAUUUGAUGAUGUGUGCUUUAUAUUGUUACAACAUUAUUUUGAAAAUAUCAUUAUU